Molecule: long non-coding RNA, 1369 nt
Organism: Tupaia belangeri chinensis (Chinese tree shrew)
Lineage: Eukaryota; Metazoa; Chordata; Mammalia; Scandentia; Tupaiidae
Exons: 2
Source: RefSeq, a predicted model, not a curated record
CGCUCCCCAAUCCGGUCUGGCUCUCCGUCCCUCUUCCUUCAACAUCUGUCGCCACCCUCGUCCCAAGCUGUCCACUCCCGGCCCUUUCCGCGCUUGGACCUUUCCACCUGAACCCUGCCCCCACUAACUCGGGACAGCAGGGAAGGGGGGGUGUGCCCUCCGCGAGCCUGAAGCAACGUGGGGGCCUUCGCCCUUGGCCUCCGACCCAGGGGGUCGUGGGGGCUCCAUGGCUCCAGACGCAUCCUGCCCGCUGCGCUGCCGCGAGUCGCGCCCCCAUUGUCUGCACAGAGCCGCGGGCCAGCGAGCCAGCGGGGCUGGGCGGGUUUGGACCAGGGCGGUGAGAUCCAGGGGCGGGGUCCCCGCGGUUCCCUCAGGGCCGCUCUGGCAGCUCCGGGAAGGUCCUCCACUGCACCCCGGGCUGCCCAGGGCUGGCGACUGGUCGCAGCUAGGGCAGGAGGAGCAGGACUGUCCUGGAGCCUGGCCAAGGCCCGGCCGAGGGCUGGCUUGCGAGAAGAGGCCAGAUUCGGUCUGGGAGGUGGACGGCCCUGGGGGAGGGGCCUGGCCUGCAGUGGUGCCGGUGUGCGGACGCCUGUGUCCUUGGGGCAGGCUGCUGGGGUCCACAGGGUCUGGACAGAGCAGAGCCUGGUGGUAGCCCGCCCGGUGGAGGUCUGCUGUAUGUGGCUCUGCGGGGCCAAGGGCACCUUGCUGCAGGCGAAGUCUCCUGGGGAUGGGGCCAGAGCUCGGCUGCUUGGCCAAGGGAGGGCACCGUGCUGCAGCCUCUACUGUGCGUGGUAGGCAGGCAAGGCAGGUCCAGGCCGCCCAGACGGAGGGUCUUGUGCCCUCUCUGUUCCAACUUGCCUGGUGACCUUGAGUGAGUCAUUCAAAAGCUUUGAAUUCUGGUUUUCCUUCUACUCCUACCUCAGCCCAGCUCUGCCCUGCCCCCACCCAGGGACCACACCAGGAGUCAGUGCCAAUAGUUCAUCCUCAGGGCAGCCAGCGAUGCACCGCAGCCACACCCACACCCAGUGCGGGACAUCAGGUGUACCUGUGGACCCAGAAGACCAGCCCCCUGCUCCCCUGGCUGCUCCAGCACCCCACCAGCGCUGCCCUAGAUGAGAAAGCUGAGGACAGAUGUCCUUGUCACCAGUGAACAUGGUAGGGCAGGAACCACCGGGAAGGCAGGGGUCUGCAGUCCUAGAACUCGGCCCCUGUGCACUGCUCUCCCCACUCCAGGAGGCAGGAUCUGGCCUGAGCUCUUGGGGGAGCAGGUGAGCCUUGAGCAGGUGCUUCAGUCAUCCUUGUCCUUGGUGCAGGUGAGGGAAGGGACAUCAUAAAGCCAUUAAAAGUGGGGCUUAUGGGCCAGCCAGUG